RNAcentral lists this unclassified non-coding RNA (303 nucleotides) under plant metagenome. Its description in RNAcentral is "partial contains 5.8S ribosomal RNA, internal transcribed spacer 2, and large subunit ribosomal RNA". The stretch from base 1 to 105 matches the Rfam family "5.8S ribosomal RNA", at positions 50 to 154 of the family's 154-position model. The record is from RNAcentral.
GAAAUGCGAUAAGUAAUGUGAAUUGCAGAAUUCAGUGAAUCAUCGAAUCUUUGAACGCACAUUGCGCCCGCCAGUAUUCUGGCGGGCAUGCCUGUUCGAGCGUCAUUUCAACCAUCAAGCCCCGGGCUUGUGUUGGGGACCUGCGGCUGCCGUAGGCCCUGAAAAGCAGUGGCGGGCUCGCUGUCACACCGAGCGUAGUAGCAUACAUCUCGCUCUGGGCGUGCUGCGGGUUCCGGCCGUUAAACCACCUUCGUAUCCCAAGGUUGACCUCGGAUCAGGUAGGAAGACCCGCUGAACUUAAGC